RNAcentral lists this unclassified non-coding RNA (813 nucleotides) under Hevea brasiliensis (rubber tree). The record is from RNAcentral. Lineage: Eukaryota; Viridiplantae; Streptophyta; Magnoliopsida; Malpighiales; Euphorbiaceae.
AGUGCAACGCCCAAAGAAAUGUCCAACUUGUUCUUGAAAGCAAAUAUGAUUGAUCCUGCAUGUUCCGCUGCAUUCCCCACGAUGGGUAGCAAGAUUAUGCUAAUAAAGCUGACAGAAAUGCCCCAAGAAUCAGAUGCAGCCUCAAUUGUGCCCACAACAUACUCAGAUAAUAAUGCUAUAAUCAUUGUCAUGCCAAGUAACCAAGAAAAUGCACUGGAAAAUCCUAUCACUGCCUUUUCUUCUUCUUCUUCUCCUUCCUCCUGAGAUUCAAACAAUUUCCUGUGAGUUUUCAGCUGGAAGAAGAUAUAAGCAACAUAUGCUAAGAGCAUAACAAUGCUGCUAGCUCUAGACAGCUCAAGGGUAUAGUAGAAAGUAACAGGUCCUUCCCCUAUAGCAUAUCUGAACAUUAGUGGCAACAUGUGGCACAGCAACCCCAACAGUAGAAGUAGUGAGUUGACAUCAGCUUGCUUUCUAUCAUAUCUUUGUUCCUUUUUCAGGUUGGCCAAGCCUCCACAAGCAGAGAGGUCCCAAGAACAAGGAGGAGGUUUGACAAGAUGGAACCCAAUAGGGAGUACUUCAAGACGUGUAUUUUAUUUUGGUAAAGAGCAAACAAUGCUAUUAUCAAUUCUGUUGCAUUACCACAAGUUGCAUUAAGAAGCCCUCCAACUGUUGGACCAGUGUAGUAUGCAAUUUGUUCAGUGAGGAAGCUGACACGUUCUGCAAGUGGGGUAAGUCCAAGUAAACUCAAAGCAAAUAGCCAAGCUCUGCCAAAUUUAUAAAAAUCAGCAGCUAUAGCAAGAGGAAUGGCUGGGA